UACGUAGGGGGCAAGCGUUGUCCGGAUUUAUUGGGCGUAAAGAGCGUGUAGGCGGCUAUACAGGUCCGCUGUGAAAACUCGAGGCUCAACCUCGAGACGUCGGUGGAAACCGUAUGGCUAGAGUCCGGAAGAGGAGAGCGGAAUUCCUGGUGUAGCGGUGAAAUGCGCAGAUAUCAGGAAGAACACCCGUGGCGAAGGCGGCUCUCUGGGACGGUACUGACGCUGAGACGCGAAAGCGUGGGGAGCGAACAGG
This 253-nucleotide ribosomal RNA is filed under the name uncultured bacterium. RNAcentral's name for it is "partial 16S ribosomal RNA". It matches the Rfam family "Bacterial small subunit ribosomal RNA", at positions 524 to 776 of the family's 1533-position model. The record is from RNAcentral.